GAUGAAGAAUGUAGCGAAAUGCGAUACGUAAUGUGAAUUGCAGAAUUCAGUGAAUCAUCGAAUCUUUGAACGCACAUUGCGCCCCCUGGUAUUCCGGGGGGCAUGCCUGUCCGAGCGUCAUUGCUGCCCUCAAGCACGGCUUGUGUGUUGGGCUCCGUCCCCCCGGGGACGGGCCCGAAAGGCAGCGGCGGCACCGAGUCCGGUCCUCGAGCGUAUGGGGCUUUGUCACCCGCUCUGUAGGCCCGGCCGGCGCCAGCCGACAACCCAUCAUCCUUUUCAGGUUGACCUCGGAUCAGGUAGGGAUACCCGCUGAACUUAAGCAUAUCAAUAAGCGGAGGA
RNAcentral lists this unclassified non-coding RNA (339 nucleotides) under soil metagenome. RNAcentral's name for it is "partial contains 5.8S ribosomal RNA, internal transcribed spacer 2, and large subunit ribosomal RNA". The stretch from base 1 to 120 matches the Rfam family "5.8S ribosomal RNA", at positions 35 to 154 of the family's 154-position model. The record is from RNAcentral.